Molecule: non-coding RNA, 1769 nt
Organism: Myodes glareolus (Bank vole)
Lineage: Eukaryota; Metazoa; Chordata; Mammalia; Rodentia; Cricetidae
Source: RefSeq, a predicted model, not a curated record
AGGAAGAUUAAGAAAGAAGGGGAGGAAACUGGGAAGAAAGGAGAAUCCAGAAAUGAUUAGGGCACGGAAAGAAGAGAAGAAGAGGAGGGGGAAGAAGAGGAAGGAAAGUUCUUCAAUUUUCAGCCAUAAUGGCAUCAACCCCUUUCAGCAUGGCACAGUGAAAAUUAUACCUAUUGGGAAUGCAGCUGGACGGAGCUCUGCAGCCCAACGAGGACUACCCAUUUGCCAAGGUGACACAAGGAGUUAGUGGCUCUCUCCAGAUUAGACCGCAAGAGCCUCCUGGCUCCUCGAAUGCCAAGAACAAAUCGCAUGACCAACAAGAGAGUUAAGCGCUUCAUUUUGUUGCAACUUCAAGUGGAUUCUUCAGCUUUAGAAUGUAUUGGCAUUUGUAUUUUUUUUUAAGAGUCCCAAAGACUCAUUCUUUCUCACUGGGCUACAUUUCUACCGUGACUGCAUCAGAUAUCAAUUUGUUUUUCUGUGAAUGCCAAACUUCCUGCCAGCCUUCCACUAGAUUUAUUCAUCCAGGCUGAAGGGUAGUGGCAGCAGAGUAAAAUGUGGCCGUGGAGUGUUCUGCUCACACUGGGGACAGGGAGAGGACGAUGACCCAGAGCUUAGUUAAUGCUGACAGAAAACUGAGGACACUGAUUGUCUCCAAAGUGUCUCCUAGAGCCAGGAAAAACCUGCUGAGGGGGAGAGAAACUGCCAGGAGACAGCAUGGGAGCUUUGACAUCUGUUGGAGCUCUCUUCUCUACAAGAGCUGUUUUGCCCAGAGUGCUAACAAGAGGAAAUAAGUUUCCCUAUUUUUUGUAUGUGUCAUCCAUGCCAAUAGAAGAAAGGGUGUUGUUUCCAAGGUAUGUACUUUCGCCACAUCCUAACAAGACUCUGUUAUCCGAGGGAACAAGGAGGCAAUAACAUACAAAACUCUUUUGAUAAGAAAUUGUGAAAUUAGUAAAAUAACUAGCCAAAUUAUUCAUCACUCAAUACUUUUCUCUGUAAAUUUAUGUUCACACAAUACUGCAAUAUUAAUAAAUAGGACUACUGAUAUCAUUAAUAAUUAUUAUUACGAUGCAAUCUAAUUAUAAUAAUGUGAAUUAUUAGUAUCAUGGAUCCAAAAUUCCAAUUUUAAGGAAAGAAAGGGAAAAGAUGGAUGGGAGAGAAUGAUAGUCACCCUUCAUCUCUAAACUUCAAGCUGGUAGUUAAUGAUUCAACGAGAAGAUAAUAAAACUAAAAUUGAGGCUGCUAGCUAUGUUAGUGGACAGAGCAUAUUCAAAACAUAAAAAAAAUAUUAAAAAAAGAAGACUUCAUUGUGUUCUUGAAUGCUGCAAUGGCAACAUAGAGGACAUAGACACAGCAGACAAACUUUCAGAAUUCACAGCAAUGCCCAGAAGACACAAUAUUUUAAUAAUAGAAAUCACACAUAGCUCUGAGUGACAGCAGAUUGACUGUCCGAGUCUGAAUGAAGAGUUCUAGUGGAAACACAUGGCAGUUCCAAUGCAACUGGACUUAGGACAAGUUUACAUUAAAUUUAUUGCAGAUGUUCAAAUGCAAUAUAAAUGCAUAAUAUUUCUCUUUGUUUUGCAUCGUCUUUAAUUAGAGCAGAAGCAAUAGGGAUCAAUCAUGAGAAAGCAAUGACCUAUUAAAGAUGUGUACUAUUGUUUUGGUUUAUGUAUGCAUUCUAGUUCUCUCUGAUUUAUUAUUCCAAUGCACAACCAUGCUGAUCUCAAAACUAUUUCAUUCAGCAUCAUCACAAUAAAUCCCUAAUCUCUUAA